This 221-nucleotide long non-coding RNA is filed under the name Setaria italica (foxtail millet). RNAcentral's name for it is "long non-coding RNA (SITA_LNC006014)". The record is from RNAcentral. Lineage: Eukaryota; Viridiplantae; Streptophyta; Magnoliopsida; Poales; Poaceae.
GGCGACUUCAAAUCUGAUAUACUCGGUGCGGUAGUGUUCUUUAGUUCCAAUGGUAACUGGGAGGACGACUUGUCCUAGUGGUAUAGCUGCGUUUCCUGGUACGAUGCCGUAGAAGGGUGAAUCCGUUGGAGUGAGCAUUUCUGUGACGUCGAGGCACAUCUUUCGUAGUGUUUUGGCAAAAAUGACGUUGAGUCCACUUCUACCAUCGAUGAGUACCUUUG